RNAcentral lists this ribosomal RNA (538 nucleotides) under Temnocephala sp. Its description in RNAcentral is "SSU rRNA". It matches the Rfam family "Eukaryotic small subunit ribosomal RNA", at positions 24 to 556 of the family's 1831-position model. The record is from RNAcentral. Lineage: Eukaryota; Metazoa; Platyhelminthes; Rhabdocoela; Temnocephalidae.
UCAUAUGCUUGUCUCAAAGAUUAAGCCAUGCAUGUAUCAGUUCACGCCACUUGAUGGCGAAACCGCGAAUGGCUCAUUAAAUCAGCUUUGGUUUCUUAGACCUUACCCUUACUUGGAUAACUAUAGUAAUUCUAGAGCUAAUACAUGCCAAUGAGCCGUUGCUUCUUGAAGUAUCGGCGGUUUGAUUAGAUCAAAGUUAACCGGUUCUUUUGAGCCGUUUGUUUGAUGACUCUAGAUGACUUACCUAAUCGCGUGACCUUGAGUCGGCGAUGUAUCUUUCAAAUGUCUGACCUAUCAACUUUCGAUGGUGAGUGAUAUGCUCACCAUGGUGAUAACGGGUAACGGGGAAUCAGUGUUCGAUUCCGGAGAGGGAGCCUUAGAAACGGCUACCACAUCUAAGGAAGGCAGCAGGCGCGCAAAUUAUCCACUCUCAGCGAGAGGAGAUAGUGACGAUAAAUAACAAUGCAAGACUCAAAAUGAGGCCUUGCAAUUGGANUGAGUACAAUUUAAAUCCUUUAACGAGGAUCCAUUGGAGGGC